This 253-nucleotide ribosomal RNA is filed under the name uncultured bacterium. Its description in RNAcentral is "partial 16S ribosomal RNA". It matches the Rfam family "Bacterial small subunit ribosomal RNA", at positions 524 to 776 of the family's 1533-position model. The record is from RNAcentral.
UACGUAGGGGGCAAGCGUUGUCCGGAAUUGUUGGGCGUAAAGAGCGUGUAGGCGGUCCGGUAAGUCAGCUGUGAAAGUCAAGGGCUCAACCCUUGAAUGCCGGUUGAUACUGUCGGGCUAGAGUCCGGAAGAGGCGAGUGGAAUUCCCGGUGUAGCGGUGAAAUGCGCAGAUAUCGGGGGGAACACCAAUGGCGAAGGCAGCUCGCUGGGACGGUACUGACGCUGAGACGCGAAAGCGUGGGGAGCAAACAGG